Molecule: ribosomal RNA, 342 nt
Filed under: Triticum aestivum (bread wheat)
Lineage: Eukaryota; Viridiplantae; Streptophyta; Magnoliopsida; Poales; Poaceae
Description: partial small subunit ribosomal RNA
Source: RNAcentral
AUGACACCCUCUCCUCUGGAUGUUGAUGUCAAACCCUCCUCCAAGGUAACCAGACAAUCACAUUCAUACAGCUUUGCAAAACCUGUGUUUCUCAUUGUCCCAUUCACGCCCGUACAAUAUUUCAUUUUGUUUUGUUUUGUUUUGAAAAGUGUACAAUAUUUUCAUUUAAUGUGUGAAUUUUCUCCUAUACAAAUGGAGCCAGGUGCAGGUAAAACUUUGUGCUAUGAGGUAAAGGAAAUAAUUCUGGAGGAAACUAAGGUUCAUGUAUGGUUGAUCUUCCCACAAAUUUUGGAUUGGUGUCAUUUUAUUAAUAUAGUUAAUUGGUUCUUAUACAAAAUAUAA